AUGAACGCUGGCGGCGUGCCUAAUACAUGCCAGUCGAGCGCACGGACGAGAAGCUUGCUUCUCUGAUGUUAGCGGCGGACGGGUGAGUAACACGUGGAUAACCUACCUAUAAGACUGGGAUAACUUCGGGAAACCGGAGCUAAUACCGGAUAAUAUUUUGAACCGCAUGGUUCAAAAGUGAAAGACGGUCUUGCUGUCACUUAUAGAUGGAUCCGCGCUGCAUUAGCUAGUUGGUAAGGUAACGGCUUACCAAGGCAACGAUGCAUAGCCGACCUGAGAGGGUGAUCGGCCACACUGGAACUGAGACUCGGUCCAGACUCCUACGGGAGGCAGCAGUAGGGAAUCUUCCGCAAUGGGCGAAAGCCUGACGGAGCAACGCCGCGUGAGUGAUGAAGGUCUUCGGAUCGUAAAACUCUGUUAUUAGGGAAGAACAUAUGUGUAAGUAACUGUGCACAUCUUGACGGUACCUAAUCAGAAAGCCACGGCUAACUACGUG
This 496-nucleotide ribosomal RNA is filed under the name uncultured bacterium. RNAcentral's name for it is "partial 16S ribosomal RNA". It matches the Rfam family "Bacterial small subunit ribosomal RNA", at positions 29 to 507 of the family's 1533-position model. The record is from RNAcentral.